RNAcentral lists this ribosomal RNA (403 nucleotides) under uncultured Eubacteriales bacterium. RNAcentral describes it as "bacterial SSU rRNA". It matches the Rfam family "Bacterial small subunit ribosomal RNA", at positions 356 to 774 of the family's 1533-position model. The record is from RNAcentral. Lineage: Bacteria; Bacillati; Bacillota; Clostridia; Eubacteriales.
GGGGAAUAUUGCACAAUGGAGGAAACUCUGAUGCAGCGACGCCGCGUGAGUGAAGAAGGUCUUCGGAUCGUAAAACUCUGUCCUUGGUGACGAAAAAAUGACGGUACCAUGGGAGGAAGCCCCGGCUAACUACGUGCCAGCAGCCGCGGUAAUACGUAGGGGGCGAGCGUUGUCCGGAAUGACUGGGCGUAAAGGGCGCGUAGGCGGCUUUUUAAGUUUGGAGUGAAAGUCCUGCUUUCAAGGUGGGAAUUGCUUUGAAAACUGGAGAGCUUGAGUGCGGAAGAGGUAAGUGGAAUUCCCAGUGUAGCGGUGAAAUGCGUAGAGAUUGGGAGGAACACCAGUGGCGAAGGCGACUUACUGGGCCGUAACUGACGCUGAGGCGCGAAAGCGUGGGGAGCGAACA